RNAcentral lists this unclassified non-coding RNA (618 nucleotides) under Hevea brasiliensis (rubber tree). Lineage: Eukaryota; Viridiplantae; Streptophyta; Magnoliopsida; Malpighiales; Euphorbiaceae. The record is from RNAcentral.
GUUCGCCUCUCUUCAGGUUUCGAUUCCAGCCCCGUCUCCGGUGAGGAGCUUCUCUCCCAUCAAAUUCUGUGCUAAAAUUCGAGUAGCCAGCAAUGAUAUCCAGGUCCAUGGAUCAAAUUCAUCCAUUUUGGUGACGACAAAAUACCUUACAUCAGUCCCUCUUGCACAUUUUUGCGGAUUAGCUGACCAUAUUCUGAAAAGAAGCAACGUUCAACAGUCGAAGAUUAGUAGUGGCGAUGCAUCAAGAAGAGAUGUACUGACCUCCAUGCCUGCUGCCCUUUUGGCAACUUUAUUGGCGUCCACCCCCGCGGAAGCGCGUACUGUGAAGCCAGAGACGAGGCGAAAAAUCAGGGAGAAGCUCGAUAAGCUGCGGGAGAAGGCAGGAAUUCCUAAAGAGAAAGGAGAGCCAAAGUCUUCUGACAAGGAAAAACUGCCAUCAACUCCAUCGAAGGGUUCGCUUGUACCUUUGGUUGAAGCAAUCAAUCUGAAGCAGUGAGUUUGUAAUAUCAAGUUAUGUUGAAGUCUUUUUCUAGUUUGUAUUAUGUUAACGAAUAUCCAGGUUUCUGGGUUAUACUGAUGGUAAUGUCUUUCGAAGUAAUAUUUAGUUUAGCGUGUAAU